This 890-nucleotide ribosomal RNA is filed under the name Escherichia coli. RNAcentral's name for it is "partial 23S ribosomal RNA". It matches the Rfam family "Bacterial large subunit ribosomal RNA", at positions 294 to 1191 of the family's 2925-position model. Lineage: Bacteria; Pseudomonadati; Pseudomonadota; Gammaproteobacteria; Enterobacterales; Enterobacteriaceae. The record is from RNAcentral.
GGAGCAGCCCAGAGCCUGAAUCAGUGUGUGUGUUAGUGGAAGCGUCUGGAAAGGCGCGCGAUACAGGGUGACAGCCCCGUACACAAAAAUGCACAUACUGUGAGCUCGAUGAGUAGGGCGGGACACGUGGUAUCCUGUCUGAAUAUGGGGGGACCAUCCUCCAAGGCUAAAUACUCCUGACUGACCGAUAGUGAACCAGUACCGUGAGGGAAAGGCGAAAAGAACCCCGGCGAGGGGAGUGAAAAAGAACCUGAAACCGUGUACGUACAAGCAGUGGGAGCACGCUUAGGCGUGUGACUGCGUACCUUUUGUAUAAUGGGUCAGCGACUUAUAUUCUGUAGCAAGGUUAACCGAAUAGGGGAGCCGAAGGGAAACCGAGUCUUAACUGGGCGUUAAGUUGCAGGGUAUAGACCCGAAACCCGGUGAUCUAGCCAUGGGCAGGUUGAAGGUUGGGUAACACUAACUGGAGGACCGAACCGACUAAUGUUGAAAAAUUAGCGGAUGACUUGUGGCUGGGGGUGAAAGGCCAAUCAAACCGGGAGAUAGCUGGUUCUCCCCGAAAGCUAUUUAGGUAGCGCCUCGUGAAUUCAUCUCCGGGGGUAGAGCACUGUUUCGGCAAGGGGGUCAUCCCGACUUACCAACCCGAUGCAAACUGCGAAUACCGGAGAAUGUUAUCACGGGAGACACACGGCGGGUGCUAACGUCCGUCGUGAAGAGGGAAACAACCCAGACCGCCAGCUAAGGUCCCAAAGUCAUGGUUAAGUGGGAAACGAUGUGGGAAGGCCCAGACAGCCAGGAUGUUGGCUUAGAAGCAGCCAUCAUUUAAAGAAAGCGUAAUAGCUCACUGGUCGAGUCGGCCUGCGCGGAAGAUGUAACGGGGCUAAACCAUG